CCUACGAGGCAGCAGUAGGGAAUCUUCCACAAUGGGCGAAAGCCUGAUGGAGCAACGCCGCGUGGGUGAAGAAGGUCUUCGGAUCGUAAAACCCUGUUGUUAGAGAAGAAAGUGCGUGAGAGUAACUGUUCACGUUUCGACGGUAUCUAACCAGAAAGCCACGGCUAACUACGUGCCAGCAGCCGCGGUAAUACGAAGGUGGCAAGCGUUAUCCGGAUUUAUUGGGCGUAAAGGGAACGCAGGCGGUCUUUUAAGUCUGAUGUGAAAGCCUUCGGCUUAACCGGAGGAGGGCAUAGGAAACUGGG
RNAcentral lists this ribosomal RNA (305 nucleotides) under uncultured bacterium. RNAcentral's name for it is "bacterial SSU rRNA". It matches the Rfam family "Bacterial small subunit ribosomal RNA", at positions 338 to 637 of the family's 1533-position model. The record is from RNAcentral.